GCCCUGAUAAAUACCUCUGGGAUCCAGCAGCAGGCUCAAGGGGUCGCAUUUUUAGGGUAAGGCUUUAGCUACAGCACAACCCUCUGAAGCCUCCGCAGCUACUCACCCUAAUAUCUGUCAGCAGAGGUCACCCCAGGCUCCGCCCCACAGAUCUCCCACAACCAGAUCCUGAAGGUGCAGCAGCUCUGGGGCCGCUUAGUUCUCCUGCAAAGAGAAGGAGCGAGAAAUCUUAAGUACAAAACAGAGAGAGUCCUAGCCCCAGACCUCUGAUGGUGGGACAGGACUGUGGCCACUGAGGAAGGGCAGCACCUCUCAGUUGUCCUGCUGUAUCCAUGGGGCUGCAUCUUGUACUCCCGACCUGCGGCCACUUAGUGUCACCACUGUUGACCGGUGAUGAGUCCUCGCUUCCCCGAAUGCUGAAGUAUGACACCAGAGAAGCCCGCGGAGGCCAGGGGAGAGUGGACGGUGGACGCUUUAUUAAAGGACAGCAGAGAAGACUUCUCCCU
Ictidomys tridecemlineatus (thirteen-lined ground squirrel) is the source of this 506-nucleotide long non-coding RNA. RefSeq lists it as uncharacterized. The record is from RefSeq and is a predicted model, not a curated record. NCBI's taxonomy places the organism in Eukaryota, Metazoa, Chordata, Mammalia, Rodentia, Sciuridae.